Molecule: ribosomal RNA, 253 nt
Filed under: uncultured bacterium
Lineage: Bacteria
Description: partial 16S ribosomal RNA
Rfam family: Bacterial small subunit ribosomal RNA
Source: RNAcentral
UACGGAGGGUGCAAGCGUUGUUCGGAAUCACUGGGCGUAAAGGGCGUGUAGGCGGUCCGCUAAGUCUGAUGUGAAAGCCCGGGGCUCACCCCCGGAAGGGCAUUGGAAACUGGCGGACUCGAGUCCCGGAGAGGAAGGUGGAAUUCCUGGUGUAGCGGUGAAAUGCGUGGAUAUCAGGAGGAAUACCGGUGGCGAAGGCGGCCUUCGGGACGGUGACUGACCCUGAGACGCGAAAGCGUGGGGAGCAAACAGG